UGGGGAAUAUUGGACAAUGGGCGAAAGCCUGAUCCAGCCAUGCCGCGUGAGUGAAGAAGGCCUUCGGGUUGUAAAGCUCUUUCGGCGGGGACGAUGAUGACGGUACCCGCAUAAGAAGCCCCGGCAAACUUCGUGCCAGCAGCCGCGGUAAUACGAAGGGGGCUAGCGUUGUUCGGAAUUACUGGGCGUAAAGCGAACGUAGGCGGUGUUCCAUGUCAGAGGUGAAAGCCUGGGGCUCAACUCCAGAAUUGCCUUUGAAACGGGGACGCUUGAGUCCGAGAGAGGGUGGCGGAAUUCCUAGUGUAGAGGUGAAAUUCGUAGAUAUUAGGAAGAACACCAGUGGCGAAGGCGGCCACCUGGCUCGGUACUGACGCUCAGGUUCGAAAGCGUGGGGAGCAAACAG
This 403-nucleotide ribosomal RNA is filed under the name uncultured bacterium. RNAcentral's name for it is "bacterial SSU rRNA". It matches the Rfam family "Bacterial small subunit ribosomal RNA", at positions 355 to 775 of the family's 1533-position model. The record is from RNAcentral.